This 371-nucleotide unclassified non-coding RNA is filed under the name Hevea brasiliensis (rubber tree). The record is from RNAcentral. Lineage: Eukaryota; Viridiplantae; Streptophyta; Magnoliopsida; Malpighiales; Euphorbiaceae.
AACCUGCUGUUUCUGCAAAUGCAAAGUUUGACAGAUGGAACCGACGGGGACUGGAAUAACUUUGCCGAGCUUCCACCUCCUUGGUUGAAGGUGUCAACAUACCUUGCUCGUACACCCAUCCGCCCACGAGCUGAGAACUGAUUUGAACUGGUUGGAAUAGGUGGAAUCCCUGAAGAGUGUUCCAAAGGAGUUGGAGUCUUAAAUGUUGGGCUCCCAUUGGUGGGAGAUCCAUCACUCUUCAGUGCAGAUUUCAAGUUGUAGUCGGACAUUCCAUUCUGGAAGGCUGAAGUUGUAGGAGGGGGUGGCAAGGCUGCUUCUUCAGCUGGAGGUUCAGCACCUUCCUCUACCCAUCUCUUAAGCUUUUCAUCAUA